AGUGAACGCUGGCGGUAGGCCUAACACAUGCAAGUCGAACGGCAGCACAGUAAGAGCUUGCUCUUACGGGUGGCGAGUGGCGGACGGGUGAGGAAUACAUCGGAAUCUACUUUUUCGUGGGGGAUAACGUAGGGAAACUUACGCUAAUACCGCAUACGACCUACGGGUGAAAGCAGGGGAUCUUCGGACCUUGCGCGAUUGAAUGAGCCGAUGUCGGAUUAGCUAGUUGGCGGGGUAAAGGCCCACCAAGGCGACGAUCCGUACCUGGUCUGAGAGGAUGAUCAGCCACACUGGAACUGAGACACGGUCCAGACUCCUACGGGAGGCAGCAGUGGGGAAUAUUGGACAAUGGGCGCAAGCCUGAUCCAGCCAUACCGCGUGGGUGAAGAGGGCCUUCGGGUUGUAAAGCCCUUUUGUUGGGAAAGAAAAGCAGCAGGUUAAUACCCCGCUGUUCUGACGGUACCCAAAGAAUAAGCACCGGCUAACUUCAUG
RNAcentral lists this ribosomal RNA (492 nucleotides) under uncultured bacterium. Its description in RNAcentral is "partial 16S ribosomal RNA". It matches the Rfam family "Bacterial small subunit ribosomal RNA", at positions 29 to 507 of the family's 1533-position model. The record is from RNAcentral.